Gorilla gorilla gorilla (western lowland gorilla) is the source of this 619-nucleotide long non-coding RNA. RefSeq lists it as uncharacterized. The transcript is spliced from 2 exons. The record is from RefSeq and is a predicted model, not a curated record. NCBI's taxonomy places the organism in Eukaryota, Metazoa, Chordata, Mammalia, Primates, Hominidae.
UGUAUAGUUUCUAGAAAGUCUGAAGGAGCACUGAUGUUUUCCCUCGAAUGCAGUUUCUAUGUCACCGUGGUAAAGAAGAAUUUUCAGGCUUGCAGUCAAGGACAGCCUUUCAAAUUCUCUUUGGAUGAAACUAAUCCCCAAGGCUGCCCAACCUCCCUGUAACUAAGAAGUUUACAAGGCCAAAUAUUUGAUGCACUGGCCUGAAAACAAUGAUUUGGAUGUCAGUCACUGACGACACAUCAUAAUGCUUACCACCACCCUUCCAAACCCACUCCGGACCAGUAAACAGUGAUUAUGCUGACAGAGCUGAAACAAACCUUUACAUCCAUCUCGAUGGGAUAACCACAUUGGUUUGUUUAGUAAACACUGAGACCAACUCCACCAUCCAGAGGCCUGACAGACAAAUGGCCUGAGACAGGGCUGGGAAAGUUUUGCUUCUGGUUGGGACUUCAGGAAGAGUUUUUUGUUUUGUUUUGUUUUGUUUUGUUUUCCCCCAAGGGAACAAGCCCUUGAAUCCGAGAGGCCGAGGUUGUGGUGAACCGAGAUUGCGCCAUUGCACUCCAGCCUGGGCAACAAGAGCGAAACUCCGUCUCAAAAAAAAAUAAAUAAAUAAAAAAGA